RNAcentral lists this ribosomal RNA (468 nucleotides) under uncultured bacterium. Its description in RNAcentral is "partial 16S ribosomal RNA". It matches the Rfam family "Bacterial small subunit ribosomal RNA", at positions 28 to 523 of the family's 1533-position model. The record is from RNAcentral.
GAUGAACGCUGGCGGCGUGCCUAACACAUGCAAGUCGAGCGAUUUACUCCGGUAAAGAGCGGCGGACGGGUGAGUAACGCGUGGGUAACCUGCCCUGUACACACGGAUAACAUACCGAAAGGUAUGCUAAUACGAGAUAAUAUGCUUUUAUCGCAUGGUAGAAGUAUCAAAGCUCCGGCGGUACAGGAUGGACCCGCGUCUGAUUAGCUAGUUGGUAAGGUAACGGCUUACCAAGGCGACGAUCAGUAGCCGACCUGAGAGGGUGACCCUCCAGACUGGGACUGAGACACGGCCCAGACUCCUACGGGAGGCAGCAGUGAGGAAUUUUGCGCAAUGCGGGAAACCGUGACGCAGCAAUGCCGCGUGCAGGAAGACGGCCUUCGGGUUGUAAACUGCUUUUCUAAAGGAAGAUUAUGACGGUACUUUAGGAAUAAGAACUUGCUAACUACGUGCCAGCCGCCGCCGUAA